AGUUUCUGAUGGGGAAGGAAGAGACAAUUGCGCAUCGCGUCCCUCAGGCGCGGUGCGGCCAGCCUGGGUGGCAUAAAAGGCGCAAGAAGUCAGGUCUCGCUCUCACUCCCACUCCCGUCCCGGACCACGAUUCACGAAGCGAAGCGGCUCCACGCUCAGCACCACGCCUCAUCGACACGUGGGCCAGUACCCUUACCACUUCUACGUUCUGUUUACUGUGUACACGAGAUUUCUCAAGCAAUUGGACUCCCUACCCGCUACUGGUCCCACAACUGAUGUUCUUCGAUCCUUUGGGGCCUUCCACAUCCCAGGCCGGUACCGCAGGGGCCCCCUGCCCUACCCAGCAAACCCUAAGGUGGCGAGAAGCCGGAUCACGCAGCAACUGCAACACGGAAGAGGGCUCGGGCGACGUCGCGUGAGGACAACAGCGCAGUGGUGUGAGGACGCAGCCGGCCUUCGCUUCGCCUCCCCCUCCUCGGGGGCCUCCUCGGGCGGCUCUGAUGUGGACGGCGACCACACUUCCCAGAGGCCACUGCCGGCAAAGCGGCGGGUGGCACAGCGUCGCAG
Procambarus clarkii (red swamp crayfish) is the source of this 567-nucleotide non-coding RNA. NCBI's taxonomy places the organism in Eukaryota, Metazoa, Arthropoda, Malacostraca, Decapoda, Cambaridae. The record is from RefSeq and is a predicted model, not a curated record.